Molecule: ribosomal RNA, 436 nt
Filed under: Tylothais aculeata
Lineage: Eukaryota; Metazoa; Mollusca; Gastropoda; Neogastropoda; Muricidae
Description: partial small subunit ribosomal RNA
Rfam family: Bacterial large subunit ribosomal RNA
Source: RNAcentral
CGACCGUGCAAAGGUAGCAUAAUCAUUUGCCUUAUAAUUGAAGGCUAGUAUGAAUGGUUUGACGAGAAUUAAGCUGUCUCUUUACAACUAAAUAUAACUUUAUAAGUAGGUGAAGAAGCCUAUCUUAAAUUGAAAGACAAGAAGACCCUAUCGAGCUUUAAAUAAUUUAACAGGUUAAUAAUAUAUUUAUAAAAAAAUUAAGCUGUUAAAAAUUUUAGUUGGGGCGACUGAGGAACAAAUAAAGCUUCCUUUAUCCAUAAAAUGACAGACAGGUACUGAUCCAAUAAAUUUGAUUAAAGGAAUUAGUUACCGUAGGGAUAACAGCAUAAUCCUUCUUGAGAGUUCCCAUCGAAAGAGGGGUUUGUGACCUCGAUGUUGGACCAGAAUACCCAGAAGAUGCAGCCGUCUUCAAUGGUUGGUCUGUUCGACCAUUAAA